AGGUUCCACCGAGAUUUGAACUCGGAUCGCAGGAUUCAGAGUCCUGAGUGCUAACCAUUACACCAUGGAACCCCACUCAACCCCGGCCG
Molecule: long non-coding RNA, 89 nt
Organism: Drosophila subobscura
Lineage: Eukaryota; Metazoa; Arthropoda; Insecta; Diptera; Drosophilidae
Exons: 3
Source: RefSeq, a predicted model, not a curated record